GGUGUUGCAUGGCUGUCGUCAGCUCGUGUCGUGAGACGUUGGGUUAAGUCCCGCAACGAGCGCAACCCUCAUCCUUAGUUACCAUCAGGUAAUGCUGGGGACUUUAAGGAAACUGCCAGUGAUAAACUGGAGGAAGGUGGGGAUGAUGUCAAGUCAUCAUGGCCCUUAUGGAGUGGGCUACACACGUGCUACAAUGGUGGCUACAAUGGGCUGCAAAGUCGCGAGGCUAAGCUAAUCCCUUAAAAGCCAUCUCAGUUCGGAUUGUACUCUGCAACUCGAGUGCAUGAAGGUGGAAUCGCUAGUAAUCGCGGAUCAGCAUGCCGCGGUGAAUACGUUCCCGGGUCUUGUACACAC
Molecule: ribosomal RNA, 354 nt
Filed under: uncultured bacterium
Lineage: Bacteria
Description: bacterial SSU rRNA
Rfam family: Bacterial small subunit ribosomal RNA
Source: RNAcentral